AGGAUUCAACAGGCACAACAACAUUUUUAGGAUUCACAGCUGCAGGCUUUGUGGUCUUUCAGGGAAAUAAGAGAAUCCAUUUGAUAAAAUGAAAAAAGCCAUGUUGGCAUUCCAUACUUCAACACCAGCUGCCUGCAAACAUCUUUGGAAGUGUGGAGUGGAAAACCAGGCCUUUUAUAAGUAUGCAAAAUCCAGUCAGAUCAAGACUGUAUCAAGCAGCAAGAUAUUUUUUAAAGGAAGUAGAUUUCGAUAUAGUGGGAAAGUUGCCAAAGAGGUGGUGGAGGCCAGUUCCAAGAUCCAGAGGGAGCCUCCUGAGGUGCACAGAGCCAACAUUACUCAGAGCCGCAGUUCCCACUCCUUGAACAAACAGCUCAUCAUUAACAUGGAACCCCUGCAGCCCCUGCUUCCUUCCCC
Molecule: long non-coding RNA, 414 nt
Filed under: Homo sapiens (human)
Lineage: Eukaryota; Metazoa; Chordata; Mammalia; Primates; Hominidae
Description: HSALNT0151056
Source: RNAcentral